This is a long non-coding RNA of Dermochelys coriacea (leatherback sea turtle), 6566 nucleotides long. RefSeq lists it as uncharacterized. Lineage: Eukaryota; Metazoa; Chordata; Testudines; Dermochelyidae. The record is from RefSeq and is a predicted model, not a curated record. The transcript has 6 exons.
UAAGCAGCCCUUUAAGCUACCAGACUUGGCAGCUGUGGCUUAUUCUGUUGCUGGGAGAAGGAAUUAAUAGCUGUGCUUCCUCUGUGUGGGAGGCCCAUAGGAAGGAAGCAGAGAGUAGCAGGAAAGAGAAAGAAAGAAAAGUUUGUAGAAAGGGUGAAGGGUGGUUUUCUACUUUCUUCCUGUAUCAGAUGAGUGUUAAGUACUGGCCCCAAAGGACAAUUCUUCUAUUGAAAAAUGCAACUAUAGAAUCAUCAGGGACUGUAUCCAAGUCUUGGGCCAAAUUCCAGAAUACCAAAUCAUGUUGAGAAGCUUAUGGCAUACCUGGUGUUACCAGUGGAAGACAUUAGCAUUGUGUUUCAAUAUUGUCAGUAUUUCAGAGGGAUUUGUGGAGCUGGACUAAAGAAAAAUGACACUGUACCUGUGAAAGCAUGUUGAUCAAACUUCUAAAGAUGACUUAUAUGCCACUUCAUGUCAGCAGCACAGGUCAUUAAAUAGGUGUACCAGGUCCAGAGGCUCCCUGGUGGAGGACUUGUGGCCCUGCAUCAUCCUGCCCAAGAAUAUAGCAGAGGGAAGUCCUCCAGGCAGCGUAGAGUGGCCGCAGAGGAGCGGCCAAUCAGAGGGGCUGAUGGAGCAGCCAAUCUGGGGCCAGAAAAGCCCUAUAUAAGACAAGCAGCAGAGCAGAGUUCAAUUGCUGUGUGGAGUUUGAGGAGUGAAGACUGGGUGCUGACUGGCUGGAAGAGUGGCAGUACCAUGGACAGCUCACUGCGGAGCAUUCACUGCAAACAGGACUGAAGCCCAGGGAAGGCUCCUGAAGACCAGGUGCCUGGCUGGCAGGAAGAGCAGCAGGACCAGCAGAAGGUCAGUGUGGGUUGAAGCCCCCAGGGACUGAGCACAGAACCUGGCUGGGCCAGCAAGGUAUUGAGGUGGGCCCCUCUGGUUUGGUUGGAGACUGCACCCCGAGAGGCCUACUGCAACACCACCAACUGUGGGUACUGCUUAACCAUUGUCUGGGUGGUUGAAGAAGGCAGUGCCUCUGCGAGAAGUCUUAGCGCUACGGCCUCAUACCAGGGCCAUCAUAAGAACUUGGACUGUAUACACUGGAAGGGGUUACAGAAUAUGUGGCUUGGCCAGGAGGCUGAGUCACUGAAGACUCGCCAAAAGAACCAUCAGCUGGGGGGGUGCUUGCGAGAGGCAGGUGCCAUCCCAAUAUAAGAAUUAAACCCAAAAGUAGGCUUACACCCAACCAACCAAAGGAGGCUACCCAUGAGAGGUGGGUGCCACCCCAAAAGAAGACUGUAAUUGCAGGUAUAUCGGCCAGAGAAAAGGGGGCACUUGCAAGAGAUGGAUGCUGACCCCUGUAUAUUUUGAUGUUAGUCAUCAUUGUCAAUUACUUCCUCUAUGGAUAGCAGAACUUUUCCUCCAAUGCACUGUCGAAUAUACAUCCUGUCCUCAUUUUGAAAGAUAUUCAUUAUGCUGUUUGUUAUCUUGAACUUUCUUGUGUGGAUUUCAGUUUUUUCUUCUCUUUUUUUCGCUCUGGCAGUGUACCAUAUGAUUGCUACUGCCCAUAUAUUAAUGGUUUGGAACAAUUUCUUUGAGUUGAGUUCUGUUCUUAAGGUUGUUCUUAUUAAUCUGUAAUAUUCUUUCCUCAUUUCUCCUUUGAGUUCCUUAUGUUGUUGUUCUAACGUUUCCCUGAUUCCAUGUCCUUUGUAGGAUUCAUGCUGAGAGACCACUUGGAUAGUACCUUGGUUAAGUUGUAUGCCAUCUGUUUAUAUCCAUUUGUCCCUCUUAACAGAUAUCAACACACAUUUAGCCUAUCCUAGCCAAGACAACCCACAGCAUUAUAUCUUCACCAUCAAUCUCCAUAUCCCCUUUUGUCACCAUUCAGGUAGUUUCAGAUUUUCCACGUAUAAAUGGUUAACUGCUUGUUGCGCUCUCCUGAUCUGGUAUCUACAAUUUACCUCACGAAGCCUCCAUGUCAGUGACAGCAUCACUACCAUGAACAGCACUGUUGAUAAGGAAUCUCCUUGAAAGAUUCCUGUUUUAAUUUGUAUCUCUGUGACAGUCUCUUUAAGGUAGAGUCAACUGUUCUGCUUAACCAUUGAUUAUUGCAGAAAGGAAAUGAUCUUUGGAUGUGCAUUUUUAGUGUUUUGUGCAUCCACAAAUGUGGGAGGCUGUCGUAUGCUUUUUGAUAGUCAUCCACACCAUCUCUAAAUUCUUGUUUUUUUUAUCUUCUGCAAUCCUCCAGUUCAGCCGAAGUGGUCUUUUGUCCCACUUGUGUUUUACUGUACAGUCUCUUUUGCUCAUGAGGCAACAUUCCUUUGAGCUAGCGCUAUCCAGAACUUCUUGGAAAGAAAUGACAUUAGAAGUUUCCAUAUGGUUGGUAAAAAUAUGAUCAGUCUUUAACUCACAGGAUCACUUCAGCCUUCUCUAUUAUUCUUAUUCUUAUUAUUUUUCUUAUGACAGUUUUCCCUGUCACCAUCCAUCUUGAAUAUCCAUUCUUGAAACAUUUAGUAAGUUCUUCAAGUAAUCAGUGAUGGAGAGUUGUUAGGUGUUUCAUCUAUGCAACCUAUUUUGUCUGGGUUCUUUUUCCAUUUUUCAUUCCUCUCAGUAACUCAUCUCUUCCUUUGAUAUUCCUGUGAAUUCCUCUAUUGUGUGGCUUUUAAAAACUUUUUUAGUUUAAAUUAUUUAUUUAUUAUUAGAACUGUCACUUUUGAUUGUGGCAUCCAAGCUUGAAAUAGACAUGGUUUAAAAUAGUGAUGAAGUAUACUUCUUGUCUUUUCCAUGUAAAGUGGCAUACAAAUUUGUGCCAGCCCAGACUGGUUUUUGAUGAUGUAGCUAGAAAUGUUCAUUCCUGAGACAUUACACGAUGGUGGUACGUUACUACAUAGAUCAAAUCAUGAUCAUACUGUCCAUUGUGAACCAUAUGUGGGACCAAAAUAAGAUGAACUCCAGCCUUUUCACUGGAUGGAAUGGAAAUACCUUGAAAUGGCCAGCUCUUGCAAUAUUUUGCCCCCUACAUGGCCAUCAGGAAUUAAAUACCUGUUUAGCUACAGAUGAUGUAGCAUCCCUGUUGUAGUUAUAAGGUAUUGCAUGUGAGGCUGUCUAUAAGGCCACUGUGUCACAGUUCACAUUCACUAUCUCCUUACUCCUCCUUAUUUACAUAGCUGAGAUCAUGCACUUUGCCUCUGUGGCUGAAGAGGGGACAAAUAUUGGUUGGUCGAGGACUAAAUCUGUGGCAUGUUUUUUCCCUUUCCCUAGAUUCCAUGGAAGCUGCUGUGUUCAGAGCAGAAUCCAUGGCUAGGGAAGUGGUGAGGCAUCAGUACUGACUUUUCUGUGUGGUGCCCUCUUUGUGCUAUGGAAACCACAAUUCCUUCCUGAGUGGAACUUUUGGGGACCAUGGCAAGAACAAGAGCUCCUCUGCCAGAGAGGGGCUGUGAAAGUACAGGGUAAACAGUGAGGCUGCUGUUUACUUAGGUCUAACUAACUUAGGUCCUGACUAUUAUCUAUGCAGAAGGACUUUCCAGCUCCUUCUGUGUAGGCAACAGUGAGGACCUAAAUUACUUCAACUAUAAAUUUAAGCUCAUGCUAGGGACCAGGUUCCCAUAACUCCCAUUGAAGGUGUGCAUGUCUUGUGUCUGAGCUCUCUGCAUAUGGGUGUAUUUCACACUAUGCAAAUUAGUCAGCCAUAUGCUGUGUGUGCUAGCUACCAGAUGUGUGAAUUAGUGUGACUGUAUUAGAAAUAAAGCUAUUUGUAUGCAAAUAACUCUCAGAGGAAUUUCUCCUUAUUAGACGAUGGAGGAGAUCAUCUGAAAAAAGAUGUGGUAUGCUUCAUCUCUGGUUUAGCAAAUUUGUCUUGUUUCAACAGCAUUCUAACAACAAGACCAACUGAAUAAUGCAAAAAGAAAGCACAGGAGACAUAUGGUUUAUGACACUUAUGUUACCUUUACUGUGCAAGAAAUGUCCCCGAGACCUGGACUGGUGGGCUGCAGCUGACGGAGCCACAAGGAAUCACCCAUGCUGAGGAGCCUGUUGCUCGAUGGACUACAUGUCUGGAAGUGCAAUAGGAAGUGACCCAGGGAGAGUGCACAAGUGGUACUUCCCACCCAAGUGAGGUCAGCGUAUUUCGGUAGGAGUCCCCGAUGACCUAAUGAUGGACCAUUCCUCCACUGUCAGGGCCCUGGGUUGAGGCCUGGUGGGGUUGGGUGCGACCAGGCCUCCAUCCCCUAGUGGCAGCCCCUUCCUUCUCCCUGGGUACUGGCCAUUGGGCCACAAGGCCCUACGUCUAGGGGCUGCUAUAUUGACUCUAGCCAUUGAUUUGCACUGUCCUAUACCCGAAGGCUGUUAUAUUGACACUGGUCCUUGAGUGUCACCGCCCCGUGCAUAGGGGCUGUGAUAUUGACUCUGGCCAUCAGGCCGCAAUACACCACACGAGGGCUUAUAUAGACCCUGGCCAUUAGGCCAUUGCCCUGCUCCUGAGGGAGGUUAUACUGACUCUGGGCACUAGGCCACGCUGCCCUGAAUGCCAGGGCUGCUCACCAUCUCCAGUCUCUGGGUCAUGCCGCUUUUGGCCUAAGGAGUGUCAGGAAGACUGUGACAGCGGUGGUAAUCUCAACUCUACCCCGCCCCAAAAAGGGGACAGGAUGUGUAUAGCCCUCAACAGUGCUCCAGAAUAACCCUUGAGAAUUCUCACCUAAUCCUACUUCACCAUUUAUCAGACAUGGGUUUCUCGUAACUAGCCACCUUCAUUGUAUCAGAUAGCCGCUCCUCCAAUUUACUGUAGCAAAUGGCUCAUUGACAUUUCAUGCUAGCAUGAUACCACAUAGUCUCAUCACCCUGACGAGCUGCUCUCAUGGCUUUUUCUGGAUUUUUAUUGUGAAAAGUACCUUGACUUUGAUAGCAAUAGCAGUGUCAAUUAAUGGGAUGGGAACCAAAACUACAAAAUUUGGACCUUUUGCACAUUUCACACAUGGCUGGAAAACUAACUGCAGCCCCAAACUAUCUGAGUGAGAUACAAGUUCUCAUUUUCUUCCUGAUUCAAAUCCCCAUGAAGUCAACCCAAGGAUCCCCCUUGAUUUAUAUGGGCUUUGGAUCAGACCUAUUUGGUUCUGCUUGUAAAAACUAGAGCUUCAGAGCAAGUUCUCUCUCCAGUCUACAUGGCAGACCUAAUCUGCUCUCUUAAGGGUGCCUCCUUGGCCAAUAGUCAAUAAAAUCGUGGUUUUGUCAGGGAAUAGUGCAAGUCCUAUAUCUAUCUUCAGCAUUUUCCUAAGAGGGUGGAUUGAGUGGUGGAUGAGUGGAUUAAAAAGGGAGAAUGUGAUUUAUUGUAGGUUAUUUCUUUUUGUGACUUAUCCAUUUAAAUGUUGUAUGUAUUGUAUGUUUAAAUGUAUGUUUAGUAAAAUUAUAAAGGAUCAAAACAUUAGCUAUACACUUGACUAAAUGAAAAAACCCAAAUGAUUAUGGAUGCAGAAAUAGAUUUAUUUUUCUAUUAAAUUUUUUCUUUUUCUGCAAGGGGGGAUGGUAUGGAAGACAUGAAUUUGGGGUUAAAAUCCUUGCUGCAAUGAAGUCGGUGACAGUUUGGCCAUUAAUUGCAGUGGGUUAGGCAUUUCACCCUUGAUGGAGCAGUAGAGCAGUUUACAUUUUUAUUCUACCAAACUUUUUAUUAGCUUUAUCAGUGUAUGACCUAGUCUUAGCCCUUCUUUCUAUUUGUAAAAUAAAGAAACAUAUAAUCUGAGGGUUUUGCUGACAAUUUAAUUCAUCCCUAUGACCCCCCCCCCCUUGACUUCUUUUUCUGUAAUCAAGUGGGAGGAAUUAUGAAAAUCCUAUGGUAUGCUCAGAUUUAGAGACCGAAGAGAUUGGAAUAUGCACGGAACUUAGACUUCCCCUCUCUCUCUUAUUUUCAAAAAUCUAUUUCUUUGUUUUAUCAAAGUCUCUACAAGCUUUAAAACCCAGAUCAAGUUUAAUCAUGGUCAACAAAGGGCGGGAGGGGAGAAAGCUGCUCUCUUACCUGCAUAUACUUUCACCUUGGUAGCCCUUGUUAACUUUAUCCUUGAAGGUCUUCUGUUGGAGAUGUCUGCCUACUGCUGUAACUGUAAAAAUUAUAAAGUCCUGAAGAUGUUGUUCAUGCAAAGCUCCCUUUGAAUUUAAGCAACUAGAUGAGGAAUGUAGCAGAUGGACUGGAAAAUGGAAUUAUCAUAUCCCUGGAAGAUAAUUUUUUCACCGAUUUAGAAUGAGUUAGCUAUGUUCAGUGAGAGUUGAGUAUUUCAAAUGGUUGAAGUCAAUAGGCCAAUUUCUAAUGUGCUUUUCAGUGUGAGUAAAAAUAUCAAAAUCUAGCCCUAAAAUUAAAAAGCUUAGUGUAGUGUGUUGCUAUAUGUAAUUUCAAAUCCAAGCUAUGCAAGUAUGAACAUGUUACAGUUAAUGAUUCAACACCAUGCCUUUCCUCUAUCCCUCUGUUUUAUUUAGAUAAUGAGGAACUGUUCCCUACUGUGGAGGUUCAUCUUAUAUUUGUUGCUCUCAAAUGAUGACCAGGACAUUUGUUGUUUGCCACAUGCUCCCAGAGUUUGUCUUCUGGU